CGCGGUUUCCCAUCAAGCACUCUCAGACAGACGUGAAUCACCAUUCAUCUCAUUUAUCAGUGUGAGAGCUGGGCUGAUGUUCAGAUUACAAAUCCUUCCAGACGCUUGUUGAUGGAGCUUUAUGUUUCAAUAGGAAUAGGAGAAGAGUUAAAGACCCAACGCAUCGCCUUUUCUCUCUAAGGACAUCAUGCUGUUUUUUGGAGAAUAGAUCAAUGAAUGACUGUCGAUUUGCUAAUCCACGAAGGGGAAAUAACAAAGGCUUUAGGUUCAGAAAUGCGUCUUACAAUGGGAAUGGAAAUCAGAGACAAUCGUCAAGCCCUUACUGUGGAAUAUUUCCCUGGAUCCGAGCCUCAAACAAACCCAGAUCAUAAGCAGCAAGGCAGGCGACACAGCUUGUGUUUAUCCAUGCCAAAUAUCCACACAAUCAGCCGUGACGAAUCAGCCAGCACAUCCCCUUGAAAAAUAUGAAAUGUGUGGCAAUGGGGCAUUCUGGGAAUGUGGGAGAUAGGAGUCAGAGCAAACAUCACUCUCCACAAAAUAAUGGAUGUCCGUUAACCAAUUCUGGAGCUAAUCAUCCACAGAGGCACCAGAGCCCUCUGAUGUGUUUUCUGACCUAGCCAAGGAUGACACCCCUCCCUGAAAACAAAGUUUCAAAGGUACAGCACCGGCUUCACUUUACUACAACUAUCCCACACGGACCAUCCAUUGCACGCCAUGACAGGUCCGAAUUUAAAUUGGGGAUAAUUGCAGGGUACCAAGUGCCACAGACAUUUCAAAACAGGAAAUCAAUAUGCUGCCAUUUCUGAGGGUCUGGAUGUGUCUCUGAUGACCAGUGAUUGAUACUGGUGCUCAUCAUCAUCAUCAUGUACAGUCACGGCACAGAAUUUACAUCUUCUUUUCUUCCAGCAUUCGUCUUGUGUGCGGCAAACCUGAACAAAUCAUCGAUAGGCAAGUGUGUUGUCUACCAUUAGCCAGACAGAAAUUCAGAAUCAAAAUGUUCUUUAUAUUUACCCAUAUGAGAGUUACAAUGCAAUAAAAACAUACUGCAAGUUUCAGAAUUCAAACAAACCCAAUUUAAAUUAUUUUCUACCCUUCUUUAAGGAUUUGAAAUCAGGAGAAUGGUGACGUCACGAUUUCCCUUGACACGCCCUUAACAACUCGUGUCUGUCCAUCAAUCACAAGAGCUAUAAUGAUGUCCAAUAAAGCAGUCCUGAGCAUGGAAUCCUUGGAGGAAACACAGCUCUAUCACAGCGCUUGCCAUCUCGAGCAUCAAAACACCCAACAUGCUGUAAAGGAGGGCGUGGCUACGGUGUGAUGAAGUCAGCCAAUCACAGCAGGGGGCGUUUACUUCUGUUUCUGCUAGCGGAAACGCCCCUUUAAACUGAGUGAAAAUGAGGAUGGAAAAUCAUAUUUUUUACAAAUAAGUUUUUUAAUGCAAAAAAAAUGCAUUUUAUGACCCCUUUAAAUAAAUGAGAGCAAAUGGGUGCAAAAUGAAAUUUUGUUCCUCUUUUGAAAUAUUAUGCAAGAUAUAUGUGAAAUAUCAGAUUUCAGACCUGAGGCAAGUCAUGUAAUCACACUGCACAACCUAAUAAUUAAUUAGAUUUCACACAGGGAAUGAUGAUUCCAUUAACCUGUCCCAGGACGGUCAAUUUAUACCUGUUCAAAUUAAUAAAAAGAGACUGUACCCGAACACAACGUUGCUUAUAGGCUAUUCCUUCAGAGCCUCUCCUGACAUCUGUUUAUCACAGAGGACAUUUGAAUCAUUUUUUAUCCCCUUUUUCUUUAAACCUGCUGUAUCCAGUUUCAGUGUGUUGGUAAAAAGCCAUAGAGCCCAGGGACAAUUUGCAUGGGUUCAGUGAGUUGGCUGCUGGCCAUAGAUCUGCAGGAUUUUAAAUUUGACUUCAAAUUUUACAUUGGACAUUAAAAAAUAAGUCAUUUGGGUCAAAUACACUGUAUGCACAAAAACUCAUCAUCAUACUCAGCUGAAAUGCAAUCACCUAAAACUAGUCUUAAUAGUUAAUAGUUUUAAAAUAUGCAAAAUUAUCAGUCAAUCUUGAACAACAAUCAUGUAGCAGAACC
This is a long non-coding RNA of Cyprinus carpio carpio, 2079 nucleotides long. The record is from Ensembl. Lineage: Eukaryota; Metazoa; Chordata; Actinopteri; Cypriniformes; Cyprinidae.